CCAGCUAUGCCUGCACAGCCAAAAUCUUAAAAGAAAGAAAAGAAUAGGUGACAGACUGGCAUACCUUGAUGCGGGAGGGAUCGAUGAUGAUGUCUUGAUUGGUCUCUAUGGCGAGGAGACGGGCUUCGUGAUCAAUGAUGGUACAGAGAGCGGAGACGACCUCGAUGGCAGUCUGGAGGCAGCACAGAGAGAAGGGGGUUCUUAGGGGGCUUGCCGAAGGGUGAGGGGAGGGAGGCUAGGAGGACUGGACGAGAGACGCG
This 260-nucleotide long non-coding RNA is filed under the name Elaeis guineensis (African oil palm). RNAcentral describes it as "long non-coding RNA (EGUI_LNC000421)". Lineage: Eukaryota; Viridiplantae; Streptophyta; Magnoliopsida; Arecales; Arecaceae. The record is from RNAcentral.